UGAGACUCUGUGCGCGUGCAUAUCAAUAAGCGGAGGAAAAGAAACUAACUAGGAUUCCCUCAGUAACGGCGAGUGAAGCGGGAAGAGCUCAAAUUUGAAAUCUUCAAGGUUCUACCUUGACGAAUUGUAGUUUAAAGAAGUGUUUUCUGUUGGAGUUUUGGUAAAAGUUCUUUGGAAUAGGACAUCAUAGAGGGUGAGAAUCCCGUAUUUGACCAUUAUUUCCAACUUUGUGAUACACUUUCAAAGAGUCGGAUUGUUUGGGAAUGCAGUCCAAAAUGGGUGGUAAAUUUCAUCUAAAGCUAAAUGCUGGCGAGAGACCGAUAGCGAACAAGUACCGUGAGGGAAAGAUGAAAAGAACUUUGAAAAGAGAGUUAAACAGUACGUGAAAUUGUCAAAAGGGAAGCGUUUGACACCAGUGUUGUUUAGUUGAAAAUCCAUUCAAUAAUUUUUGAUUUUAAGUAGUAUUGACUUCAUCAGCUUGCUGCUUUCUUUUCGAAAAUUAUUGAAUGCACUUUUCAGUUAACAAGUCAACAUCAAUUUCUUUUGUUGUAAAAGGGUAAGAGGAAGGUGGCUUACGCUUCGGCGUCAAGUGUUUAUAGCCUUUUAUCUCUGCAAUCGGAGAGAUUGAGGUCAUGCAGCGUAGACUCCUUCGGGGUUAGAUACACUUGUGCUAAGCUAUAGCCUUGUAUAGACAACUUGUUGACUAUGCUCAGUCAUGUAGCUUACUCGCAUGUGCUAUUUUACCUACGCUUAGGAUGUUGAACUCUAUCACACACAG
This 778-nucleotide ribosomal RNA is filed under the name uncultured Neocallimastigales. Its description in RNAcentral is "partial large subunit ribosomal RNA". It matches the Rfam family "Eukaryotic large subunit ribosomal RNA", at positions 23 to 623 of the family's 3401-position model. The record is from RNAcentral. Lineage: Eukaryota; Fungi; Neocallimastigomycota; Neocallimastigomycetes; Neocallimastigales.